GGAGGAAGAAGAAGGAAAACAGAAUCAAAUUUCUUCCUUCUUUUUGUUUAUUAAUUUAUUUUUGUGCAAUGGCUACUCUCAUUCCCCCGUCAGUUAUAGUUCCACCGGCGAAUUCAAAGUCGGCGGCUGUCGAAUCGGAGAAAGAGAAAGUUGAUUACCUGAACUUGCCUUGUCCAAUUCCUUAUGAAGAAAUCCAUCGUGAAGCUCUCAUGUCUUUAAAGCCCGAGCUUUUUGAAGGACUGCGCUUUGAUUUUACCAGAGGACUUAAUCAGAGAUUUUCACUGAGUCAUAGUGUUUUUAUGGGGCCUACAGAACUUCCUACUCAGUCUGCUGACAUCGUCAAAAUACCAACUGCGCACUAUGAGUUUGGUGCCAACUUU
RNAcentral lists this unclassified non-coding RNA (380 nucleotides) under Hevea brasiliensis (rubber tree). The record is from RNAcentral. Lineage: Eukaryota; Viridiplantae; Streptophyta; Magnoliopsida; Malpighiales; Euphorbiaceae.